This 515-nucleotide long non-coding RNA is filed under the name Nicotiana benthamiana. Its description in RNAcentral is "long non-coding RNA (NBEN_LNC023501)". Lineage: Eukaryota; Viridiplantae; Streptophyta; Magnoliopsida; Solanales; Solanaceae. The record is from RNAcentral.
CCGCCUUUGAAAUCCUAUCACCUCCAAAAUUCUCUCUAGCCCUCCCCGAAACCUUAGUUGACUUCCACCUACUUCAGGCAUGUUUCCACUGGAAUCCAUGGCACUCCUGACCAUGGAUGGCUUGUGCUCACUGUCUCUCACCAUUAAACCCAAGCCACGCGAAGGUUGAAGGACGAUUUCAAGGGCUCCCUUUAGAUCUGUCUUAGAUCUGUAAGAUCUUGGGCCUCUCCGGCCAUUUUCCGGCGUACUCGAGCAAUAUGAGCCUCUAUGACUCAGGAUCCGAAUUUCCUCAAGACCUUCUCAUUCUAGGGUCUUCUCUAUUUUUUUUUAAGCUGUCUGAGGUUCUCUACUUGCCUAUUUCUUUCAAAUUUUAACAUACUUGGCCUUUACCUGACGUUUUGGGACUUUUCCCCAAAUUUCCUUUUUCAAAUUUGUUCAAAUUCAAUUUUUUAAGGUUCCUGCAAAGAUUUUCUUCAAAAUGUUUUCUGACUCUUUUUGUUCUCUCUUUAUGUGUG